UGGGGAAUUUUGGACAAUGGGCGAAAGCCUGAUCCAGCAAUGCCGCGUGUGUGAAGAAGGCCUUCGGGUUGUAAAGCACUUUUGUCCGGAAAGAAAUCCUUGGCUCUAAUACAGUCGGGGGAUGACGGUACCGGAAGAAUAAGCACCGGCUAACUACGUGCCAGCAGCCGCGGUAAUACGUAGGGUGCAAGCGUUAAUCGGAAUUACUGGGCGUAAAGCGUGCGCAGGCGGUUUGCUAAGACCGAUGUGAAAUCCCCGGGCUCAACCUGGGAACUGCAUUGGUGACUGGCAGGCUAGAGUAUGGCAGAGGGGGGUAGAAUUCCACGUGUAGCAGUGAAAUGCGUAGAGAUGUGGAGGAAUACCGAUGGCGAAGGCAGCCCCCUGGCAAGUACUGACGCUCAUGCACGAAAGCGUGGGGAGCAAACAGGAUUAGAUACCCUGGUAGUCCACGCCCUAAACGAUGUCAACUAGUUGUUGGGGGAUUCAUUUCCUUAGUAACGUAGCUAACGCGUGAAGUUGACCGCCUGGGGAGUACGGUCGCAAGAUUAAAACUCAAAUGAAUUGAC
RNAcentral lists this ribosomal RNA (566 nucleotides) under uncultured bacterium. RNAcentral describes it as "partial 16S ribosomal RNA". It matches the Rfam family "Bacterial small subunit ribosomal RNA", at positions 355 to 914 of the family's 1533-position model. The record is from RNAcentral.